This 468-nucleotide ribosomal RNA is filed under the name uncultured bacterium. RNAcentral describes it as "partial 16S ribosomal RNA". It matches the Rfam family "Bacterial small subunit ribosomal RNA", at positions 28 to 507 of the family's 1533-position model. The record is from RNAcentral.
GACGAACGCUGGCGGCGUGCUUAACACAUGCCAGUCGAACGGAAAGGCCCUGCUUUUGUGGGGUGCUCGAGUGGCGAACGGGUGAGUAACACGUGAGUAACCUGCCCUUGACUUUGGGAUAACUUCAGGAAACUGGGGCUAAUACCGGAUAGGAGCUCCUGCUGCAUGGUGGGGGUUGGAAAGUUUCGGCGGUUGGGGAUGGACUCGCGGCUUAUCAGCUUGUUGGUGGGGUAGUGGCUUACCAAGGCUUUGACGGGUAGCCGGCCUGAGAGGGUGACCGGCAACAUGGGGACUGAGAUACGGCCCAGACUCCUACGGGAGGCAGCAGUGGGGAAUAUUGCACAAUGGGCGGAAGCCUGAUGCAGCAACGCCGCGUGCGGGAUGACGGCCUUCGGGUUGUAAACCGCUUUCGCCUGUGACGAAGCGUGAGUGACGGUAAUGGGUAAAGAAGCACCGGCUAACUACGUG